GAAUUCAACUCCUACGGGAGGCAGCAGUGGGGAAUUUUGGACAAUGGGGGCAACCCUGAUCCAGCAAUGCCGCGUGAGUGAAGAAGGCCUUCGGGUUGUAAAGCUCUUUUGUCAGGGAAGAAACGGUAGUAGCUAAUAUCUAUUACUAAUGACGGUAAUUACUUAGAAAGUCACGGCUAACUACGUGCCAGCAGCCGCGGUAAUACGUAGGUGGCAAGCGUUGUCCGGAUUUAUUGGGCGUAAAGCGAGUGCAGGCGGUUCAAUAAGUCUGAUGUGAAAGCCUUCGGCUCAACCGGAAAAUUGCAUCAGAAACUGUUGAACUUGAGUGCAGAAGAGGAGAGUGGAACUCCAUGUGUAGCGGUGGAAUGCGUAGAUAUAUGGAAGAACACCAGUGGCGAAGGCGGCUCUCUGGUCUGCAACUGACGCUGAGGCUCGAAAGCAUGGGUAGCGAACAGGAUUAGAUACCCGAGUAGUCCAGGCGUU
Molecule: ribosomal RNA, 483 nt
Filed under: uncultured bacterium
Lineage: Bacteria
Description: bacterial SSU rRNA
Rfam family: Bacterial small subunit ribosomal RNA
Source: RNAcentral